Molecule: unclassified non-coding RNA, 328 nt
Filed under: soil metagenome
Description: partial contains 5.8S ribosomal RNA, internal transcribed spacer 2, and large subunit ribosomal RNA
Rfam family: 5.8S ribosomal RNA (bases 1-120)
Source: RNAcentral
GAUGAAGAACGUAGUGAAAUGCGAUAAGUAAUGUGAAUUGCAGAAUUCAGUGAAUCAUCGAAUCUUUGAACGCACAUUGCGCCCCCUGGUAUUCCGGGGGGCAUGCCUGUUCGAGCGUCAUUUCAACCCUCAAGCUCUGCUUGGUAUUGAGUCCAUGUCAGCAAUGGCAGGCUCCAAAAUCAGUGGCGGCGCCGCCGGGUCCUGAACGUAGUAAUAUCUCUCGUUACAGGUGCUCGGCGUGCUUCUGCCAAAACCCCAAUUUUUCUAUGGUUGACCUCGGAUCAGGUAGGGAUACCCGCUGAACUUAAGCAUAUCAAUAAGCGGAGGA